This 832-nucleotide long non-coding RNA is filed under the name Anneissia japonica. RNAcentral describes it as "uncharacterized LOC117104455, transcript variant X1". Lineage: Eukaryota; Metazoa; Echinodermata; Crinoidea; Comatulida; Comatulidae. The record is from RNAcentral.
GUUAUUUUUCUGUAGAGCAGCAUGUUGGCUCAGUCGGCAAGAAUGUUAAGAAGCAGUGGUGUUCAGCUUCAGGAUGAGUAGUAAAAUUGAGAGAGUGGAUAGUAACAUAAGAAUACAGUGUGCUGGCUCUUUUUUGACUCAUUUGCAUAAUUCACUAGACAAUGGCCUCAUCACAAUGAUGUAAUGAUAAUGAAUAUUCAUAGUCAGGAAACUGCAGAAAUGACACCACAGCAAAAGCAACUUCUUGACAGCAUAUAUAUCUUCAGCAUGUAUAUCCAGGUAGCGCCUGGAUUACAAUGCAGUGAGUCUAGCAUGUGUAGCAUCCUACUGGCUGACUGUCCAGAUUUGUACUCAUUUGCAUAAUUCACUGGACCAUGGCCUCAUCACAAUGAUAAUUAAUAUUUAUUGUCAGACACUUAAAACUACAAAAGUCAGGAAACUGCUGAAAUGACACCACAGCAAAAGCAACUUCUUGAUAGCACAUUUCUUCAACGGGAUUGAAGGUAGCACGUGGGUUUCACCAGAGCAAAUUUCGCAUGUGUAACAUCCUAGCGCUUGGAUAGGCUGUCCAGAUGUGGACCAACAUUUUAAAACUCUUUGCUAGUUGACUCAUUUGCAUAAUUCACUGGACCAUGGCCUCAUCAGAAUGAUGUAAUGAUAAUGAAUAUUCAUUGUCAUACACUUAAAACUACAAAAGGAAACUGCUGCAAUGACACCACAGCAAAAGCAGCUUCUAAUAGCAUAUAUCUUCAGCGGCAGCAAAUUUCGCAUGUGUAACAUCCUAGCUCUUGGAUAGGCUGACUGUCCAGAUGUGGACCAACAUUUUAAAAGU